AACGAACGCUGGCGGCAGGCCUAACACAUGCAAGUCGAACGCUCUCUUCGGAGGGAGUGGCGCACGGGUGAGUAACGCGUGGGAACCUACCCUGGGGUACGGAAUAACAGCGGGAAACUGCUGCUAAUACCGUAUACGCCUUUAGGGGGAAAGAUUUAUCGCCCUGGGAUGGGCCCGCGUCCGAUUAGUUAGUUGGUGGGGUAACGGCCUACCAAGGCUUCGAUCGGUAGCUGGUCUGAGAGGAUGAUCAGCCACACUGGGACUGAGACACGGCCCAGACUCCUACGGGAGGCAGCAGUGGGGAAUCUUGGACAAUGGGGGCAACCCUGAUCCAGCCAUGCCGCGUGAGUGA
RNAcentral lists this ribosomal RNA (352 nucleotides) under uncultured bacterium. RNAcentral's name for it is "bacterial SSU rRNA". It matches the Rfam family "Bacterial small subunit ribosomal RNA", at positions 29 to 408 of the family's 1533-position model. The record is from RNAcentral.